UUGAGGACAUGGCCAUGAUGACCCAUCUCAAUGAAGCCUUGUGCUGUAAACCUCAAAGAGCGUUAUGCAGCAUGGAUGAUCUACACCUACUCGGGUUGCUCUGUGCUAC
Long non-coding RNA from Etheostoma spectabile (orangethroat darter), 109 nucleotides. RefSeq lists it as uncharacterized. The record is from RefSeq and is a predicted model, not a curated record. Lineage: Eukaryota; Metazoa; Chordata; Actinopteri; Perciformes; Percidae. The transcript is spliced from 3 exons.